This is a non-coding RNA of Danio rerio (zebrafish), 385 nucleotides long. NCBI's taxonomy places the organism in Eukaryota, Metazoa, Chordata, Actinopteri, Cypriniformes, Danionidae. The record is from RefSeq and is a predicted model, not a curated record.
GAAGAAGAGCCAGACAGUGAGACUGGAGGUAAAAUCAGCUCAGAAUGUGAACGAACCGGGAGUAAACGGAGAGAUUUUACUGCAGCUAACGCAGAUACUGAGAUCGAAGGGUCUGCCAGUGGAUGCAGAGCUGUCCUGGAAAACAUCCAGCGCUGGAAAAGUCUUUCAGAAGAUGUGGUAUCAGAAGAGUGAGCUUUCCAACACACCCUGCCAGAGAAACGUGAACUGAACAGCUCUGAACAGACUUUCCUGUGUAGUUUGAGCUGCGUUUUUCAUGCAGAUGCAUUACAUCAGGUGUAUGUGCACUUCUGUGUUUACUAAGAUGUGCUUGAAUCAAGUAGCAUUUGCAAGUUUGGUAAAACAAUAAAUUCCUUUUUGCAUCACA